AAAAUAUUUUUUUCUAAGGAGGAGCCUUGGCAACUGAGGGCUGGGUAUCCCUGUGCCGAUAGGGUGAGCCGUGUCGCACUUGAAGCGUGGAGGAGAAUCUCAUAUCUUCAUGUGGGUGUGCUCUGAGUCAGAGACGUUUACAUUUAAAUGAAGCAUGAGGUCAUCACUGCCAUUUUCAUCCUCUGAGCAAAGACCUCCAACAUCUGUCCCUGACUGAAUACAUAGAGGGAUGGAGCUUUUCCGAUUGUCACUUUUCCAAAGCUGCCAGUGGAGCCACUUUCAGAAAGGAGCAGAUGGAUUUUCGACAUGUGACCGAGCAACUUGACACGCAUCAAGAAUAAGCCUGAUGUGCUGGAGAGAAUCCAGUAGUUUUCUAAACUUAAACUUCCUUCAGCAUCCGAUUAUAAAGAAAAGUUCAUGAUUUUGUGGUCUGGUUCCAACAAGGGUCUAUGCUGAUGUGUGCUGAACAGGGGGCAACAUGGACAGAAAUAAGACACUUGACAAGCCACCAUUAGGUA
Non-coding RNA from Oryzias latipes (Japanese medaka), 518 nucleotides. Lineage: Eukaryota; Metazoa; Chordata; Actinopteri; Beloniformes; Adrianichthyidae. The record is from RefSeq and is a predicted model, not a curated record.